AACAGGCUUCACCGGCUCUGGGGUAACAGCCGGUUCUGUCGCUGCAAAGAUGAUGGGUGCCGCAGCUGUUGCCAAUGGAGGAGGUGUUGCAGCUGGAAGCAUGGUGGCUACUCUUCAAUCAGCUGGAGCAGCAGGACUGUCAUUCGUUGCUAAAGCAGCAGUCGGGGCUGGAGGUGCUGUAACCGGUGCAUUGCUUGGACUCUGGAGAAAAUAACCUCAAUAAAUUACCAUUCUUCCUAAACCCUGAAUAUGAUCCAAAAUGUAUUUGAUUAUUAAAAGUCCACAUGUAAAGCA
This is a long non-coding RNA of Amblyraja radiata (thorny skate), 294 nucleotides long. RefSeq lists it as uncharacterized. Lineage: Eukaryota; Metazoa; Chordata; Chondrichthyes; Rajiformes; Rajidae. The transcript has 2 exons. The record is from RefSeq and is a predicted model, not a curated record.